GUGAGUCAUCGAAUCUUUGAACGCAUCUUGCGCUCCUUGGUAUUCCAUGGAGCAUGCCUGUUUGAGUGUCACGUAAACCCUCACCCUUGUGAUGUCAAAGUCACGAGGCGUGGAUUUGGACCGUGCCGUAAUUGGCUCGUCCUGAAAUGCAUUAGCUUGCGCCUUUUAGAGUGCUCGGCAUGGUGUGAUAAUUAUCUGCGCCGUCGCCUUAGGCCUCUUCUGUGAGUGCUGCUUCCAAUCGUCCCCAGUGGACAACAUAUUACAAACUUUGACCUCAAAUCAGGUAGGACUACCCGCUGA
Molecule: unclassified non-coding RNA, 300 nt
Filed under: uncultured Auriculariales
Lineage: Eukaryota; Fungi; Basidiomycota; Agaricomycetes; Auriculariales
Description: sequence contains 5.8S rRNA gene, ITS2
Rfam family: 5.8S ribosomal RNA (bases 1-71)
Source: RNAcentral